AGGCCAGUAGCUCAGUUGGUAGAGCAUCGGUUUCCAAAACCGAGGGUCGGGGGUUCAAGUCCCUCCUGGCCUGCCA
This 76-nucleotide transfer RNA is filed under the name Planctomycetota bacterium. RNAcentral's name for it is "Planctomycetes bacterium tRNA-Trp". It matches the Rfam family "tRNA". Rfam says of the family: Transfer RNA (tRNA) molecules are approximately 80 nucleotides in length. Their secondary structure includes four short double-helical elements and three loops (D, anti-codon, and T loops). The record is from RNAcentral. Lineage: Bacteria; Pseudomonadati; Planctomycetota.